Molecule: long non-coding RNA, 3691 nt
Organism: Macaca mulatta (Rhesus monkey)
Lineage: Eukaryota; Metazoa; Chordata; Mammalia; Primates; Cercopithecidae
Source: Ensembl
AUGGAUUUUCUGCUUAGCAGAAUUCUCUAUAUUUUGAGUAUCUUUACCCAAAGGCAGAGCUGGCCUGGUGACUUAAUUCACAUUGGGACACUUACCGUCACAUUCAUAGCACUGGAUCAAAUACUACAAGUGAACAGCCAAAAGAAGAGGUAUUGCUCUAGGUUGAAUGACAUCUUCCCCUCAAAAGAUAUGUGGAAGUCCUAACCCCCAUUUCCUCAGAAUGUGGCCUUAUUUGGCAAUAAGGCCAUUGUAGAUACAAUUAGUUUAGAUGAAGUCGUACUGGAGUAGGGUGGGUCCCAAGCCAAGAUAACUGGUGCCUUUAUAGGAAGGGGAAAUUUGUACACACGGAGAAUGUCUUGAACAUAAAGACAGAGGUGGGGAGAUGCAACUGCAAUCCAAGGGACGCCAAAGAUUGCCAGCCAACCACCAGCAGCCAGGAGAGAGGCCUGGGACAGGUUCUCCCUCACAGCAGAGUGGGUUCAUGUCUUAGUCUGUUUGAGCUGCUAUAACAAAAUACCGUAAACUAGAUGGCUUAUAAGCAACACAUUUUUUUUUUUUUGUAGUUCUGGAGGCUGGGAAGUCUGAGAUCAAGAUACCAGCAAAUUCAGUGUCUGAUGAGGGCCCAUUUCCUGGUCCCCAGACGGUGCCUUCUGAUUGUGUCCUCACAUCGGGGAGAGGCAAGCUAGCUCUACGGGGUCUCUCUUAUAAAGGUUCUAAUCCCAUUCAUGAGGGCUCCUCCCUCAUGGCUUCUCAAAAGUCACCACCUCCUAAUACCUAAUACCUUGGAGGUUAGGAUUUCAACAUAAUGAGUUUUGAGGGGACACAAACAUUCAGACCAGAGUAGCCCCUAACCCAGUAUGACUGGUGUCUUUGUAAGAAGGUGGCUUUGUGAAGACAGAGACACAUGAGGAGAAUACCAUGUGACAACCAAGGCAGAGGCUGGCAUUAAUGCAGUUACAAGCCAAAGAAUGCCAGAAAUUGCCAGUGAAUCACCAGUAGCUAGGAGAGCAGCAAGGAAGGACACUCACCCGCAGGUUUAGGGGGGAACAUGUCCCUGCUGAUACCUCAAUUUUACACAUCUAGCCUUCAGAAUUGUGAGAGAAUAUAUUUCUGUUUUAAGCCACUCAAUGUGUGGUGCUUCGUUGGGCAAUGGGACGUAGCAAUGUAUGGCGAAAUCUUUCUCCUCCCACCACACAGAACACAUUCAUUCAAAGAGUAUAAAUUGGCCCAAGCUUAAUAAACAUUCUCUUUUUUACUAGUGAGUCAACACAAGUAUAGGCUGGGUUAGUUCUAUAGAUGAAACAGAAUUUGAAAUGUGUAAUGUUAAAGCCAAAGGUCCAGUGGCUAUUUAUUCCACAUUCUAUAUAACUACCCUAACCCAAGCAGCUGUUCUAAAACCCCAAUGACUAGGGCCCUGAUAAAACAUUCUUUAAAGUGCUGGAACAAGAUUCAGACUCUCAGAAUUUGCCGUUUCAGUUUGAGAAGAUGAAGAGUUUGAAGAUGAGAAGACUCAAAUUUGAGUCCAGCACCCAGCUGCCAGUCUAGCAGCCCACUGCAGCCCCCAGAGAAUGAAAAUGGAAUGCUUGGUCCCAUGCCCAUGGUGGGUGUCCUCUAGGAAGCUCUGGGGUUCCCACCUGGCCUCCAGCCAUAUCAGGGCCAUAUAGAUUUCUUAAAAUAAAUAUCUACUUGUGUAUCACCUUGUGGUGGCUCUGAUCAUCUCUAGCACCAAGUCUAAGCAUGAUGCUUGAAUAAGCCUCCAUGAUUUAUGCCCACUCUGGGCUCUGGGCUCCUGUUCCAUCACACUCUCCCUUUAGCUUUAUAUCUAGUUACACAAAAUUACUUGUUGUUUCCGCAAUAAAGCCUUAUGUGUUUUGUCUUUGUAACUUUAACUAUCACUUAAAUUUACAAUGCCCUUUCCUUCUUUUCCUACUGAAACAACCCUAGUUAAUCUUCAAAAUAUUCAUAAGGGAUACUUUCCUAUGAAAGCCUGCUUUGACAACAUCCUCCAGAUAGACUUAAUACCUUUUUUCUUUGUAUAAUUUUUUACCUGCUCCUUUACUGUGCAUCUCAAACUAUAUUUAAUAGUUCAUUUGUAAUCAUUUUUAAAUUAAACUGUGAGAUCCUUGAGAGCAGGAAUUGUAUUUUAUUUAUAUAGGAUGCCCAGUAGUAAGCGCAGUGCCUAUACCUGUACAGGUGAUUAGUAACUGUUUAAAUGAAUUAUUCAUUUAACAAAUAUUUCUUGAGACUUUUUAUGUUGCAGGCAUUGUUCUGGGCCUUGUAGAUAUGGCAAUAGUCAAGAUAAAUAAAGACCUUUCCUACCUGAAGCUUGUGUUCUGGUGGAGAAGAUGGAUAAACAGAUAAAAACAAUAGACAUUGCAUAUACUUUCAGGUAAUGAUAUGUGCUAUGAAGAAGAAAAAAGGCAGUGUAGGAGGUUGUGGGUCAAUGGGAAUUCUCUUAGAUUCACAAAUCAAGAGGUAAUCAAAUGAAACUUAACCAAAAAACACAAUGACUUCUCUCUAACCAACCUUGAUUACUGGAUAGUCUUCUUAUCCAAGUCAGCUUAAUGUGCUGUUCAAGAGAAUCAGUGUGGAAGGAAGGAAAUGUGCAAGAGAGUCCUGUAUCAGACACUGUGGGCAGGGAGCUUUACAUCUCUCAUCUUAUUGGGCUUUGACAAUACCCUUCAAGACAGGUGCUGUUGCAGAUGAAUGACAACCUGAACUUCAGGGAGGCCAAAUAAUAUGUCCAUGUGGAGUGUCUGAGUGUGUGAGCCAAGGUUCAAACCCAGGCUGUCCUGGGCCACUUGUCAACACCAGUUCUACAGUUGAAUUCUAUGAAUACUUAUCAGGUGCUGACUUUGUGUCAAGCCCUGUUCUUCGUGCUCGGCAUACACCAGCAAAUAGAAUAGACAGAAAUCCCUGCCAUUUCAGAAAGUAACAAGUGUUGACAAGGAUGUGGAGAAAUUGAAACGCUUGUGCACUGUUGGCGGGAAUGUAAAAUGGCACAGGUACUAUGGAAAACAGUAUGGUAGAUCCUCAGAAAAUUGAAAAUAUAGAUCCCAUUUCUGGAAAUAUACCCAAAGGAAUUGAAAGCAGGAUCUUGAAGAGAUAUUUGUAGACUCAUGUUCAUAGCAGCAUUAACCAAAAGGUAGAAGCAAUGCAAGUACCCAUCAACAGGUGAAUAGAUAAAUAAAAUGUAGCCUAUAUGCAUUUACCACACAUGGAAUAUUAUUAAGUCUUCAGAAGGAAGUAAAUUAUGACAUAUGCUAUAACAUGGGUGAACCUUGAUGACAUUAUGUUAAGUGAAAUAACCCAGUUAUCAUAUAAGACAAAUAUAUGAUUCUGUUUACAUAAGGUACCUAGACCAGUCAAAUUCAUAGAGAAAGUAGAAGAGUGAUUGCCAGGGUCUGGCAAAAAGAGGAAGUGGGGAGUUAGUGUUUAAUGGGUGCAGAGCUUCAGUUUGAGAAGAUGAAGAGUUCUGGAGACGGAUGGUGGUGAUAGUUGCACAACAAUGUGAAUGUACUCGAUGCCACUGAACUGUACACUUAAAAAUGGUUAAAAUAGUAAAUUUCAUGUUGUGUGUGUAUUUCACCAUAAUUUAAAAAAUCUCUGCCCUUAUGGAGCUCAUGUUUUAGUUCGGGGACAUGAACAGUAAACAGAUUAAAUAUGUAAAUCAUUAGCUAUUAGAAGGAGA